UAACACGUGAGCAACCUGCCUUUCAGAGGGGGAGUAACAGUUGGAAACGACUGCUAAUACCGCAUAACGCUGCGAUGGGGCAUCCCGAUGCAGCCAAAGAGCAAUCCGCUGGAAGAUGGGCUCGCGGCCGAUUAGCUAGUUGGUGGGGCAACGGCCCACCAAGGCGACGAUCGGUAGCCGGACUGAGAGGUUGAUCGGCCACAUUGGGACUGAGACACGGCCCAGACUCCUACGGAAGGCAGCAG
This 245-nucleotide ribosomal RNA is filed under the name uncultured bacterium. RNAcentral's name for it is "partial 16S ribosomal RNA". It matches the Rfam family "Bacterial small subunit ribosomal RNA", at positions 111 to 354 of the family's 1533-position model. The record is from RNAcentral.